Molecule: ribosomal RNA, 1441 nt
Filed under: Lacticaseibacillus rhamnosus
Lineage: Bacteria; Bacillati; Bacillota; Bacilli; Lactobacillales; Lactobacillaceae
Description: bacterial SSU rRNA
Rfam family: Bacterial small subunit ribosomal RNA
Source: RNAcentral
GCAGUCGAACGAGUUCUGAUUAUUGAAAGGUGCUUGCAUCUUGAUUUAAUUUUGAACGAGUGGCGGACGGGUGAGUAACACGUGGGUAACCUGCCCUUAAGUGGGGGAUAACAUUUGGAAACAGAUGCUAAUACCGCAUAAAUCCAAGAACCGCAUGGUUCUUGGCUGAAAGAUGGCGUAAGCUAUCGCUUUUGGAUGGACCCGCGGCGUAUUAGCUAGUUGGUGAGGUAACGGCUCACCAAGGCAAUGAUACGUAGCCGAACUGAGAGGUUGAUCGGCCACAUUGGGACUGAGACACGGCCCAAACUCCUACGGGAGGCAGCAGUAGGGAAUCUUCCACAAUGGACGCAAGUCUGAUGGAGCAACGCCGCGUGAGUGAAGAAGGCUUUCGGGUCGUAAAACUCUGUUGUUGGAGAAGAAUGGUCGGCAGAGUAACUGUUGUCGGCGUGACGGUAUCCAACCAGAAAGCCACGGCUAACUACGUGCCAGCAGCCGCGGUAAUACGUAGGUGGCAAGCGUUAUCCGGAUUUAUUGGGCGUAAAGCGAGCGCAGGCGGUUUUUUAAGUCUGAUGUGAAAGCCCUCGGCUUAACCGAGGAAGUGCAUCGGAAACUGGGAAACUUGAGUGCAGAAGAGGACAGUGGAACUCCAUGUGUAGCGGUGAAAUGCGUAGAUAUAUGGAAGAACACCAGUGGCGAAGGCGGCUGUCUGGUCUGUAACUGACGCUGAGGCUCGAAAGCAUGGGUAGCGAACAGGAUUAGAUACCCUGGUAGUCCAUGCCGUAAACGAUGAAUGCUAGGUGUUGGAGGGUUUCCGCCCUUCAGUGCCGCAGCUAACGCAUUAAGCAUUCCGCCUGGGGAGUACGACCGCAAGGUUGAAACUCAAAGGAAUUGACGGGGGCCCGCACAAGCGGUGGAGCAUGUGGUUUAAUUCGAAGCAACGCGAAGAACCUUACCAGGUCUUGACAUCUUUUGAUCACCUGAGAGAUCAGGUUUCCCCUUCGGGGGCAAAAUGACAGGUGGUGCAUGGUUGUCGUCAGCUCGUGUCGUGAGAUGUUGGGUUAAGUCCCGCAACGAGCGCAACCCUUAUGACUAGUUGCCAGCAUUUAGUUGGGCACUCUAGUAAGACUGCCGGUGACAAACCGGAGGAAGGUGGGGAUGACGUCAAAUCAUCAUGCCCCUUAUGACCUGGGCUACACACGUGCUACAAUGGAUGGUACAACGAGUUGCGAGACCGCGAGGUCAAGCUAAUCUCUUAAAGCCAUUCUCAGUUCGGACUGUAGGCUGCAACUCGCCUACACGAAGUCGGAAUCGCUAGUAAUCGCGGAUCAGCACGCCGCGGUGAAUACGUUCCCGGGCCUUGUACACACCGCCCGUCACACCAUGAGAGUUUGUAACACCCGAAGCCGGUGGCGUAACCCUUUAGGGAGCGAGCCGUCUAAGG